Molecule: transfer RNA, 90 nt
Filed under: Acidobacteriota bacterium
Lineage: Bacteria; Pseudomonadati; Acidobacteriota
Also listed under: 5 other names
Description: tRNA-Leu
Rfam family: tRNA
About the family: Transfer RNA (tRNA) molecules are approximately 80 nucleotides in length. Their secondary structure includes four short double-helical elements and three loops (D, anti-codon, and T loops). Further hydrogen bonds mediate the characteristic L-shaped molecular structure. tRNAs have two regions of fundamental functional importance: the anti-codon, which is responsible for specific mRNA codon recognition, and the 3' end, to which the tRNAs corresponding amino acid is attached (by aminoacyl-tRNA synthetases). tRNAs cope with the degeneracy of the genetic code in two manners: having more than one tRNA (with a specific anti-codon) for a particular amino acid; and 'wobble' base-pairing, i.e. permitting non-standard base-pairing at the 3rd anti-codon position.
Source: RNAcentral
GCCGGGAUGGCGAAAUUGGCAGACGCAGCGGACUUAAAAUCCGCAGGGGCCAAAAGCCCUGUGGGGGUUCGAUUCCCCCUCCCGGCACCA